Cinara cedri is the source of this 963-nucleotide non-coding RNA. The record is from the annotation of a GenBank genome assembly. Lineage: Eukaryota; Metazoa; Arthropoda; Insecta; Hemiptera; Aphididae.
ACUUAGUACUACUAUAAUACUACAGCGCCCGACGACUUAUUUAUUGUCCGUUAAAACGGCCGUGACAGUCUCUUUCCGUCAACGUCAUGCAUUGCGCGCGUGAAAAACGAAAACGCACCAGAGGGGUUAGACAAUGGAGUACCCGAGAUUUUGAAUUCGGGGGAGCGAGGCUAAAUACGCUUUUUACCUUGAAUCGUGGGCGUAGGGGAUAAGGGGGAUUUUCGAUAACAAUGAAACGAGAAUAUAAUAACCCGUAUUGGCAUAUCUUUUUACCGUGCUUAUUAUACCACCCAUGACAGCUACGUCCUCGUUUUGAAAAUUUCGAACAAAGGCGAUUACAUCGAUUUCGUUAAUAUUCCCGUUAUAGCCUGCACGGUUCCCGCGAAACAAGUAUAUUAUUUAACAGUAUACGUUUAUAAUUCAAACGGAAAUUGUAUUUUAGGAUUUGCUGGCAUCUUGAAAAAAAAAACUAUAUAUAGGUAUACAUCAGUUUGAUAGUUUUUUUUUUUUUUAUAGAAGAAUCACACGCUGGGAAUUGAUAUUUUCCGGGCUACUAAGACGGUAAACAAUAACGUUACAAUUGGCAAAGCGGCUGGAACGUAUUAUAUAUCAUUUGGCUCGCCAUUUCUUAAUCCGUGAUUAGAAGUUUUGAGGAUAUUAUCACAUAAUAGAGGAUAAUAGUAUACGUUUCCCCCCUCCCGAGUAAUUGGGCUAGUGAUAGUUAUAGUUCUGACUGAGUUUCGUCGGCGACAAAUCCGAAUAAAGCGGGAAGGAAAUAUUUCGUUACAUUCCUACGUUAUAAUUUUUAUUCGUGUCGGAACUUACGUACCUACUCAUCACGGGCGAUAUUCACCGGUUAUAUCCCGUGCGGGAACUCAUAUGCGCCCCAUGCGCGUACCUUGUAUAAGGUCUCCCCGGUUCCGAAUUUAUCGUCUCGUAUUACGAGAUCGCGGGGCAGGUCGU